RNAcentral lists this ribosomal RNA (1255 nucleotides) under metagenome. RNAcentral describes it as "bacterial LSU rRNA". It matches the Rfam family "Bacterial large subunit ribosomal RNA", at positions 1688 to 2925 of the family's 2925-position model. The record is from RNAcentral.
GCCUUAGAGAACCGUGGUUAAGGAACUAGGCAAAUUGACACCGUAACUUCGGGAUAAGGUGUGCCUCCGAGGUGGAGCAGAACAUGCCGAGCCAGAAGAGGUCGCAGAGAAUAGGGGGUAGCGACUGUUUACCAAAAACACAGGACUGUGCGAAGUCACGAAGACGACGUAUACGGUCUGACGCCUGCCCGGUGCUGGAAGGUUAAGAGGAGAGGUUAGACGCAAGUCGAAGCUUUGAAUCGAAGCCCCAGUAAACGGCGGCCGUAACAAUAACGGUCCUAAGGUAGCGAAAUUCCUUGUCGGGUAAGUUCCGACCUGCACGAAUGGCGUAACGACUUCCCCGCUGUCUCAACCAUGGACUCAGUGAAAUUGAAUUCUCGGUGAAGAUGCCGAGUACCCGCGGCAAGACGGAAAGACCCCGUGAACCUUUACUAUAACUUGACAGUGGUAUUCGGGUGGAUCUGUGUAGGAUAGGUGGGAGACUUCGAAGCGGGUGCGCCAGCAUCCGUGGAGUCAUCGUUGAAAUACCACCCUGGUCCUCCUGGAUGCCUAACGUGGGCGGCUGAAGCGUCAUCACGGACACUGUCUGGUGGGUAGUUUGACUGGGGCGGUCGCCUCCCAAAAAGUAACGGAGGCGCACAAAGGUUCCCUCAGCCUGAUUGGAAACCAGGCGAAGAGUGCGAAGGCAGAAGGGAGCUUGACUGCGAGACCUACAAGUCGAGCAGGUGCGAAAGCAGGUCUUAGUGAUCCGGUGGUCCUGCGUGGAAGGGCCAUCGCUUAACGGAUAAAAGGUACUCCGGGGAUAACAGGCUUAUCUCCCCCAAGAGUUCACAUCGACGGGGAGGUUUGGCACCUCGAUGUCGGCUCAUCGCAUCCUGGGGCUGGAGCAGGUCCCAAGGGUUUGGCUGUUCGCCAAUUAAAGCGGUACGCGAGCUGGGUUCAGAACGUCGUGAGACAGUUCGGUCCCUAUCUGCCGUGGGCGCAGGAGUUUUGAGAGGAGCUGUCCCUAGUACGAGAGGACCGGGAUGGACUGACCUCUGGUGCACCAGUUGUCACGCCAGUGGCAUAGCUGGGUAGCUAAGUCGGGACGGGAUAACCGCUGAAAGCAUCUAAGCGGGAAGCCCACCUCAAGAUGAACUCCCAGGGGUAACCCUCUGAAGGCCCGUCGUAGACUACGACGUUGAUAGGCUGGGUGUGUAAGCGUCGGAAAAGGCGUUGAGCUAACCAGUACUAAUAGGCCGUGUGGCUUGACUUG